This is a long non-coding RNA of Bactrocera neohumeralis, 1621 nucleotides long. RefSeq lists it as uncharacterized. The transcript is spliced from 3 exons. NCBI's taxonomy places the organism in Eukaryota, Metazoa, Arthropoda, Insecta, Diptera, Tephritidae. The record is from RefSeq and is a predicted model, not a curated record.
AAGAGUGCACAGCUGCUGGCAUACGUCGAUGAUAUUGAUUACAUAGGCCUCAACAUUUAAUUGAACUCAACAACCCCGCCGUUAGUUCUGCAUUCUCCAGAAUAGAUAAGGAAGCGAGACAAAUGGGUCUGGUAGUGAACGAGGACAGGACAAAUUAUCUUCUGUCAUCAAACAAACAGUCGUCGCACUCGCGACUUGGCUCCCACGUCAUUGUUGACAGUCAUAACUUCGAAGUCGUAGAUAAUUUCGUCUAUCUCGGAACCAGCAUUAACACCAACAACAACGUUAGCCUCGAAACCCUCCUCAGAAUUACUCUUGCCAUCAGAUACUACUUCAGACUGAGUACUCAAUUGAGAAGUAAAGUCCCCUCUCAACAAACAAAGACCAAACUCUAACCCCCGCCCUGUUUUACGACAUGGAGGAUGACAACAAAUGAUGAGUCGACGUUAAGAGUUUUUGAGAGAAAGGUUGUGCGAAAGAUGUAUGGUCCUUUGCGCAUUGGCAAUAUCGCGUUCGAUGGGACGAUGAGUUCUUCAAGUUAUACGAUGACAUUAACAUAGUUCAGCGCAUUAAGAGACAGCAGCUACGCUGGCUAGGCCAUGUCGCCCGAACUAAUGAAAACUAUCCAGCUCUGAAAAUAUUUGACGCACUAAGCGCUUGGGAAAGCAGAGGAUGAGGAAAACCUCCACUCCGUUGGAAAUGACAGUUUCCCACCUAAAGAAGAUUUUCCGAAGUAAUAAGCCUCACUACAACAACUGUGAACAUUAACAACAUCAAAGUAUUUUUCACACAACAAAACCAUGUAACACUGUUUACUACCAAUCAAAUUCCUCUCAUUCUCUCUAAAAAAUUAUAUAUACAUAUUUUUACUUCAUCACUCUCCCAGUCUCUAAAUAACGCACACUCUCUCUGGUUAACAUUGACUCGUGCUACCACUACUCAGCACUACUCUCACACCAGUAUACGCUCUCCGCUCUUUCUCUCAGUUAUCCUUUGCGCUUGUUAGCGGAACUAAAGCUUUUACAUAAUCUGCGAAGCAUGAUGACGUCAAAUAGCUCCAAAAUAUUUCAUGCGCAUCAUCACGACACUCAUUCCGCAAUCUGUGUGGCCUUCCGCUACUGUUUGGUUUGGCUGCUUCGUGUUCAUACCGUUGCCGUUAUUGUUAUUGUUGUUGCUCGGUAGAGUCCUUGUACGAAGGGUAACGAAUGGUUUGUUUUUGUUGCCGCUGAAUUUUCCUCAAUGUUGUGACGUCAGACGAAUUUAGAUACGUCAAAUGGCGCUGACUUACGUCGUUGUUGUUUGCCAACGUUGGGCAAUAUUCUACAGCAGCGCCUAUGAGCAGCGCACUCGCACACGGCUAUAAACAUAGAUAUCGUAUAAGGCUAAGCUUUAUGUUUAUUAUUUUUCAUUCCAGCCUAUUCGCACUUCCGUCAUCUGCGUCCGUUGCGUUGGCUAUGUGCGAACGAAUAUUGAAAUGUUACGCAUCAACUAAAUGACAUUGAGGCCGCCGCGGCCCCUCAUAGCAGAGAGACAAUAAAAUUGAGAUUGUGUAGAUUUAAGUGGAAAUAAGUAGUCAUACCACGAUUUGCUAUAAAUGUUUUCUGGAAGAAAAUCAAAAAAU